This 440-nucleotide ribosomal RNA is filed under the name uncultured bacterium. Its description in RNAcentral is "partial 16S ribosomal RNA". It matches the Rfam family "Bacterial small subunit ribosomal RNA", at positions 338 to 795 of the family's 1533-position model. The record is from RNAcentral.
CCUACGGGAGGCAGCAGUAGGGAAUAUUGCUCAAUGGGGGAAACCCUGAAGCAGCAACGCCGCGUGGAGGAUGAAGGUUUUCGGAUUGUAAACUCCUUUUGUUAGAGAAGAUAAUGACGGUAUCUAACGAAUAAGCACCGGCUAACUCCGUGCCAGCAGCCGCGGUAAUACGGAGGGUGCAAGCGUUACUCGGAAUCACUGGGCGUAAAGAGCGCGUAGGCGAGAUAGCAAGUCAGAUGUGAAAUCCUAUGGCUUAACCAUAGAACUGCAUUUGAAACUGUUAUUCUAGAGUAUGGGAGAGGUAGGUGGAAUUCUUGGUGUAGGGGUAAAAUCCGUAGAGAUCAAGAGGAAUACUCAUUGCGAAGGCGACCUACUAGAACAUAACUGACGCUGAUGCGCGAAAGCGUGGGGAGCAAACAGUAUUAGAUACCCCUGUAGUC